RNAcentral lists this unclassified non-coding RNA (253 nucleotides) under plant metagenome. RNAcentral describes it as "partial contains small subunit ribosomal RNA, internal transcribed spacer 1, and 5.8S ribosomal RNA". The stretch from base 1 to 54 matches the Rfam family "Eukaryotic small subunit ribosomal RNA", at positions 1778 to 1831 of the family's 1831-position model. The record is from RNAcentral.
GGAAGUAAAAGUUGUAACAAGGUUUCCGUAGGUGAACCUGCGGAAGGAUCAUUAAAGAGAUCAUGCCCUCACGGGUAGACCUCCCACCCUUUGUUUACAAUACCUUUGUUGCUUUGGCGGGCCCGUUUGGCCCCGCGCUGAACAACCGGCCCCGGCUGGUCAGUGCCCGCCAGAGAACCGAAAACUCUGAAUUAAAUGUCGUCUGAGUACUAUGUAAUAGUUAAAACUUUCAACAACGGAUCUCUUGGUUCUG